CCUACGGGCGGCAGCAGUAGGGAAUUUUCGUCAAUGGGCGCAAGCCUGAACGAGCAAUGCCGCGUGAACGAGGAAGGUCUUCGGAUCGUAAAGUUCUGUUGUAGGGGAAAAAGAGCGGAGAGAGGAAAUGCUUUCUGAUUGAUAUUACCCUUCGAGGAAGUCACGGCUAACUACGUGCCAGCAGCCGCGGUAAUACGUAGGAGGCGAGCGUUAUCCGUAAUUAUUGGGCGUAAAGGGUGCGUAGGCGGCCUGCUAAAUCUGGGGUAAAAGGUACCGGCUCAACCGGUACAGGCUCUGGAAACUGGCGGGCUAGAGAGCAGGAGAGGGCGGUGGAACUCCAUGUGUAGCGGUAAAAUGCGUAGAUAUAUGGAAGAACACCAGUGGCGAAGGCGGCCGCCUGGCCUGUUACUGACGCUGAGGCACGAAAGCGUGGGGAGCAAAUAGGAUUAGAUACCCUAGUAGUC
This 464-nucleotide ribosomal RNA is filed under the name uncultured bacterium. Its description in RNAcentral is "partial 16S ribosomal RNA". It matches the Rfam family "Bacterial small subunit ribosomal RNA", at positions 338 to 795 of the family's 1533-position model. The record is from RNAcentral.